RNAcentral lists this non-coding RNA (46 nucleotides) under Schistosoma mattheei. The record is from RNAcentral. Lineage: Eukaryota; Metazoa; Platyhelminthes; Trematoda; Strigeidida; Schistosomatidae.
GCACUACUGAGGAGUCCUAUACUAGGAUGAAACGGCCGUCAAGUAC